Molecule: transfer RNA, 67 nt
Filed under: Camelus bactrianus (Bactrian camel)
Lineage: Eukaryota; Metazoa; Chordata; Mammalia; Artiodactyla; Camelidae
Also listed under: 2 other names
Rfam family: tRNA
About the family: Transfer RNA (tRNA) molecules are approximately 80 nucleotides in length. Their secondary structure includes four short double-helical elements and three loops (D, anti-codon, and T loops). Further hydrogen bonds mediate the characteristic L-shaped molecular structure. tRNAs have two regions of fundamental functional importance: the anti-codon, which is responsible for specific mRNA codon recognition, and the 3' end, to which the tRNAs corresponding amino acid is attached (by aminoacyl-tRNA synthetases). tRNAs cope with the degeneracy of the genetic code in two manners: having more than one tRNA (with a specific anti-codon) for a particular amino acid; and 'wobble' base-pairing, i.e. permitting non-standard base-pairing at the 3rd anti-codon position.
Source: Rfam by way of RNAcentral
CGUUAAGAAGCGAAAUAGCACUAACCUUUUAAGUUGAAGAAUGAGAGUUUAAGCCUCUCCUUAAUGA